CCGGUAGAGAGUAUGGUGUGACUG
Molecule: non-coding RNA, 24 nt
Filed under: Cricetulus griseus (Chinese hamster)
Lineage: Eukaryota; Metazoa; Chordata; Mammalia; Rodentia; Cricetidae
Source: RNAcentral